RNAcentral lists this long non-coding RNA (355 nucleotides) under Medicago truncatula (barrel medic). Its description in RNAcentral is "lncRNA gene22504". The record is from RNAcentral. Lineage: Eukaryota; Viridiplantae; Streptophyta; Magnoliopsida; Fabales; Fabaceae.
UGCUUCUUUAUUUCAUUGCAUUGAAUUCAUCUUAUCUUAUCUUAUAGUAUAAAAUCAUAACUUUAAGGUCUUUGAAAAUAGCGGAAAAAUACAAUUAUUUGGUGCAUACAUAAAUACAAAAUGACAGCUCCUUGAAUAUUCUAACAUAGAAUAUAUUGUACAAUUCUUUUGUUUGAGCAAGAACUCGUUCAUCCUAACCAACCAUUUGUACAAAAGCCUUUACGACAUCUACCCUUAAUUUUUUUAUCAUCUGGACAAUCUUUAUCUGUUAUACAAGGCAGAAAAAUAAUACUAGAAUCACAUGCUACUAUAACAAGAAAUAUGAAAAUAAGCAGAAUCAGAACAUUAACAAACU